This 927-nucleotide unclassified non-coding RNA is filed under the name Orbicella faveolata. Its description in RNAcentral is "uncharacterized LOC110041753, transcript variant X1". Lineage: Eukaryota; Metazoa; Cnidaria; Anthozoa; Scleractinia; Merulinidae. The record is from RNAcentral.
UGACACUCUACAUCUGUGGCCACAUAGUGGUGGCCAUCUGUGGCGUCGAACGGUGGAUGGCAGUGAUGGAGCCCGUGGGAGUCGUGAGUAAAUGGCUUGGUAUUGAAAAACUUUACCUCACGAAAAUAGAAGGUUGCUGUCCUACGUCAAUUCCAGUGAGCGAAGUUGUGUUCAGAUAUAGGUGGUUCACAGACCGGGUCACCCUUGUGCUUGGCAUGGAGAGAUGGACAUGAUGGUAGUUCCAAAUAAUGCAACAUCAUCAGGAGUAACUGGCUUCUUCUUUCCAGCUGCUUAAAUUGGAAAAUUUACUGCGAUGAUCAUUCUUCACUUUUAUCUACGACUGCAGUUUAAAUGUGAAUUAUUUCAUAUACACUUCACAUCAAAAUUAAUUAUGCCAGUUAAUUAUGAUCAGUGUUCAGGGGAGUGGACUGUGAAUCACUGAAUGAAUGGGUAAAGUUAUUUGAUCGUAACUGCAUAAAAUGUGUCACUAGGUGUCUUCAUGUGAGCUUUCCACUAUAAAGCCAAAAUCAAAGCCAUCUUAGUGUGGUUGUCUCAGUGGCCUAGUUUUAAGCUCUGGUGAUUAGAAGAUCUGAGCUUGACUCCUGGCGGGGGCACAUUUUCACUCAUGAUCUUUGUUGUGAGAAGUUAAUCAACUCUUCAUUUUUUUGACUGUAAGAUUAUAACUGUAACGCAAGGGCAGGGGAUUGCUUGCACGUUCUAGAUUUGAUUAAAUUGUCAUUGUGUUGCGUCUUGCAUCAUGCAGCUUAACGUAUUUCAUGUAAUGGUUUAGGCCACUUAGCUCUAAGAGCCUUUGAUUUUUUUUUUUUUUCAGCUGUUCUUGCUCAACCUGUUUUUGACCAGGACAAAGACAUGCUUGAUGCUGGUUGUUCAUUGAUUGAAGGGAAGCAGGAUUCAAGUGACAUGGGA